This 385-nucleotide ribosomal RNA is filed under the name uncultured bacterium. RNAcentral describes it as "bacterial SSU rRNA". It matches the Rfam family "Bacterial small subunit ribosomal RNA", at positions 29 to 417 of the family's 1533-position model. The record is from RNAcentral.
AUUGAACGCUGGCGGCAUGCCUUACACAUGCAAGUCGAGCGGCAGCGCGGGGGCAACCCUGGCGGCGAGCGGCGAACGGGUGAGUAAUGCAUCGGAACGUGUCCUCUUGUGGGGGAUAACCAGUCGAAAGACUGGCUAAUACCGCAUGAGAUCGAGAGAUGAAAGCGGGGGACCGCAAGGCCUCGCGCGAGAGGAGCGGCCGAUGUCGGAUUAGCUAGUUGGCGGGGUAAUGGCCCACCAAGGCGACGAUCCGUAGCUGGUCUGAGAGGACGACCAGCCACACUGGGACUGAGACACGGCCCAGACUCCUACGGAGGCAGCAGUGGGAAUUUUGGACAAUGGGCGCAAGCCUGAUCCAGCCAUGCCGCGUGUGUGAAGAAGGCCU